RNAcentral lists this ribosomal RNA (445 nucleotides) under uncultured bacterium. RNAcentral describes it as "bacterial SSU rRNA". It matches the Rfam family "Bacterial small subunit ribosomal RNA", at positions 330 to 792 of the family's 1533-position model. The record is from RNAcentral.
GCCAGACUCCUACGGGAGGCAGCAGUGGGGGAUAUUGCACAAUGGGGGAAACCCUGAUGCAGCGACGCCGCGUGAGUGAAGAAGUAUUUCGGUAUGUAAAGCUCUAUCAGCAGGGACGAAAAUGACGGUACCUGACUAAGAAGCCCCGGCUAACUACGUGCCAGCAGCCGCGGUAAUACGUAGGGGGCAAGCGUUAUCCGGAUUUACUGGGUGUAAAGGGAGUGUAGGUGGCAUAACAAGUCAGAAGUGAAAGCCCGGGGCUCAACCGCGGGACUGCUUUUGAAACUGUUAAGCUGGAGUGCAGGAGAGGUAAGCGGAAUUCCUGGUGUAGCGGUGAAAUGCGUAGAUAUCAGGAGGAACACCGGCGGCGAAGGCGGCUUACUGGACUGUAACUGACGUUGAGGCUCGAAGGCGUGGGGAGCAAACAGGAUUAGAUACCCGGGUA